RNAcentral lists this ribosomal RNA (503 nucleotides) under uncultured bacterium. Its description in RNAcentral is "partial 16S ribosomal RNA". It matches the Rfam family "Bacterial small subunit ribosomal RNA", at positions 30 to 523 of the family's 1533-position model. The record is from RNAcentral.
AUUGAACGCUGGCGGCAGGCUUAACACAUGCAAGUCGAGCGGGGUGAUGGUGCUUGCACUAUCACUUAGCGGCGGACGGGUGAGUAAUGCUUAGGAAUCUGCCUAUUAGUGGGGGGCAACAUCUCGAAAGGGAUGCUAAUACCGCAUACGUCCUACGGGAGAAAGCAGGGGAUCACUUGUGACCUUGCGCUAAUAGAUGAGCCUAAGUCGGAUUAGCUAGGUGGUGGGGUAAAGGCCUACCAAGGCGACGAUCUGUAGCGGGUCUGAGAGGAUGAUCCGACACACUGGGACUGAGACACGGCGCAGCCUCCUACGGGAGGCAGCAGUGGGGAAUAUUGGACAGUGGGGGGAACCCUGAUCCAGCCAUGACGCGUGUGUGAAGAAGGCCUUAUGGUUGUAAAGCACUUUAAGCGAGGAGGAGGCUCUUUUGGUUAAUACCCAAGAUGAGUGGACGUUACUCGCAGAAUAAGCACCGGCUAACACUGUGCCAGCAGCCGCAGUAA